UUUACCAAUGGCUUGUGGUUAUUCUCUUCCCUUAAACCUGCUGACUUUCUUUCUUCCAUCUGUUCCCUCAAUUCUGGGCUUCCAGGGUGUGGACUCAGCUCAGGCCCCUGCAGGAGACACACAGAAUCAGGUCUCAGCUUCAGGUCCUGGGCAGCAUUAAAAACCAUCUCUGCUCCUCAGAAACUCAGAGAAAACACAGCAGGAAGGGACCUCAGAGAGGAACAAUAAGCCCCUACUUUACUGACAAGGAAAGUGAAGUCAAGAAAGACUAAGACUCUCCCAGGCUCCGUCACCACAUGGUGGCAGCAGAUUGACCACACAAGCCUUGGCCUCAGCCUCCCUGUCCAAAGCACCCAACUCACCCUCCAGGAACUCACUGCUGCAUUUCAGAAAACUUUGGAUCAAAAAUAGCAAUUUCCACUGUGAAAACAAAAAUAGUAAAAGGGCAUUUCCUUGGACAAACCCUUUAUCACUGUUCUGUAGUCCUAGUACUUAUACUUGGUCAGUUGUCUUUCGCUGGCUGGUAGAUUGGGGCAGGGAGCGCAUAAGGAUUAAAUAGUGCUUGACACAACCUGCUUUCCCGGCCUGGGAUCUCAGCCCCUCCAUUCUUUUUCAGAAACUUUCCUCUGCUGUAACUGCUGAAGAGUCCAGGCCCUCAUGUGGGUCAUUUCUCGAUGAAGACCCCUGUUACUUUCUUCCUCUCUUGAAGGGCAGAGAUUGGUUCUGGGACCCUACAGUCCUAGGUUUUCUUCUAAGCCAGCCAGAUCAGCUGAAAGCAAUCAUGACUGAGAGAGGUCAGGUCAGCGAAGAGAGUCCCAGAGGAGCAGGGGGUCACAAGGACAGCCCCUCAUGGAGAUGGUCAGGACCAUGACAUGGGCAAUAUCUGACCAAUUCUGCUAGGGAAGAUGCGCCAGGGAUUAAGGGGAGGAUGCUGCCAUAAGGAGAAAGGUGAAGAACCAAAGGAGUGCCAGAAGAAGGAAAAUAAAAUGAUUUGAAUAAAGAUAGAAAUGCAGAGCCCAGAGGCAAAGCCCCACGUCACACACAGAGGGUUAGUUCCAGGCUGUGGAUCCUAAUCAACAAAUUCCUGCUGGAUUUUGCUUAGCCCCAUUUCAAAAUGAUUUUGGAUCAGUGACUUUGUUUCUUCCACUUUCCCUCUUUUUGAACAAGAAUCACUAGUGUUGUUAUUCUAUGACUGUCCCACCAUUGCACGUUGAGGGCAGAUAAGCUUUGUUCAGUUUCACAGGUCAGCAGAGGUAAGGGAAUUAUGUCAAGGAUUUGUACUUGGGCCAGGUGCAGUGGCUCACACCUGUAAUCCUAGCACUUUGGAAGGCCAAGGCGGACGGAUCCCCUGAGCUCAGGAGUUCGAGACCAUCCUGGCCAACAGGGCAAAACCACAUGUCUGCUAAAAAUACAAAAAAAAUUAGCUGGAUGUGGUGGCACAUGCCUGUAAUCCGAGCUUCUCGGGAGGUGAAAGCAGGAGAAUUGCUUGAACCCAGGAGGUGGAGGUUGCAGCGAGCCAAGGUUGUGCCGCUGCACAGCAUGCGCAACAGAGCGAGACUCCCUCAAAAAAAAAAAAAAAAA
RNAcentral lists this long non-coding RNA (1581 nucleotides) under Macaca fascicularis (crab-eating macaque). Its description in RNAcentral is "lncRNA (ENSMFAG00000057865.1)". The record is from RNAcentral. Lineage: Eukaryota; Metazoa; Chordata; Mammalia; Primates; Cercopithecidae.